This 374-nucleotide unclassified non-coding RNA is filed under the name soil metagenome. RNAcentral's name for it is "partial contains 5.8S ribosomal RNA, internal transcribed spacer 2, and large subunit ribosomal RNA". The stretch from base 1 to 120 matches the Rfam family "5.8S ribosomal RNA", at positions 35 to 154 of the family's 154-position model. The record is from RNAcentral.
GAUGAAGAACGUAGCGAAAUGCGAUAAGUAAUGUGAAUUGCAGAAUUCAGUGAAUCAUCGAAUCUUUGAACGCAUCUUGCGCUCCUUGGUAUUCUGAGGAGCAUGCCUGUUUGAGUGUCAUUAAAUUCUCAACUACACUGACUUUGAAUUGGUGUGGCUUGGAUUUGGGGGGAAAAUUGUUGUGGGCUUUUUGUAUAGUCUGCUCCCCUGAAAUUGAUUAGCGGUACCUUUGUGGAACUGUCUACAGGUGUGAUAAUUAUCUACAUCUUAGACAUCUGCUGGAAUGCUGCUUUCUAAACCUUACUUGUAUUGACAAUCUUGACCUCAAAUCAGGUAGGACUACGCUGAACUUAAGCAUAUCAAUAAGCGGAGGA